This 420-nucleotide ribosomal RNA is filed under the name uncultured bacterium. RNAcentral's name for it is "bacterial SSU rRNA". It matches the Rfam family "Bacterial small subunit ribosomal RNA", at positions 356 to 773 of the family's 1533-position model. The record is from RNAcentral.
AAGGAAUAUUGGACAAUGGUCGCAAGACUGAUCCAGCCAUGCCGCGUGCAGGAAGACGGCCCUAUGGGUUGUAAACUGCUUUUGUACCAGAGAAAACCUAUCUACGUGUAGAUAGCUGAUAGUAUGGUAAGAAUAAGCAUCGGCUAACUUCGUGCCAGCAGCCGCGGUAAGACGAAGGAUGCAAGCGUUAUCCGGAUUCAUUGGGUUUAAAGGGUGCGUAGGCGGGCUUGUAAGUCAGUGGUGAAAUCUCUCAGCUUAACUGAGAAACUGCCAUUGAUACUGCAGGCCUAGAGUAUAGAUGACGUUGGCGGAAUAUGACAUGUAGUGGUGAAAUACUUAGAUAUGUCAUAGAACACCGAUUGCGAAGGCAGCUAACGAAACUAUAACUGACGCUGAGGCACGAAAGUGCGGGGAUCAAAC